GCCUGGCGUGCUGCAGUCCAUGGGGUCGCAAAGAGUCGGACACCACUGAGGGACUGAACAACAUGCAGUCCUUCUGAGUGGGCCUGGGCACAGCGCUGCAUCUGUUCAGGCUGAGGGUUCUUGUGACUUGGUCUCUCUGCCCUUCCAGUCUGAUUCUGAGAACAAGCCCUGUUGGGAAUGGAGUGUGUCACCCUGAGCUUGAAAGGACAUCCAGGAAGCCCUGGGCUCUGGAGGAGACCUCUGUGGAUGUGAAGUGGGGUGGGGGAAAGGGGAGGCCUGGUUGGGUUCCUGAGCCUUUGCUGCCCCCUCCUGGAAGCCACAUCUAGGUCCCGGAGAGUAAGCUGUCCCAGAAACCCAGCUCUCCUCCAGCAUCCACGCCACCCUCCAUCUCCAGGCAGGCCCUUCUCGGAGUGUAUAUGGUUUGAACUUUGACAGUGACAUCCUCAAAGCCUGGAGUACCAGCUUCUGCUCUGUCCUGAGCGGCAGCCAUCGCAGCUAUGUGUUGCGUUGGAGGGAGCUGAGGAGCCAGGAGCCUGGGAGGAAGACACUCAGGGCCCCGAGAGAGCAAGAGGAGCAAGGAUGCAGAUGGGAGUGGCUGCUUUGGAGGCAGGGAGGGGCUGAGAGUUGUGAUCCCAGUGGAGGGAGUCUGCUCUGAGGAUCCUGGUUGGAUUUGACUUAACCCAGGCCUGGCCCCCUGGCUGGUGACUAAAGCGUUCUGGGGAUCCAGGGUGGGAACUGGUUACACUGACCUGAAGGGAAGGAGAGGUAGUGUAGAGAAGGGACCCCUGAAUUAUUAAUAAGCUCUGAAGAGUGAACAGAGAAACUCACAAGGAGGUGCAGGCCUCAAAGCCGCUCACAGCCCCUCCUGGCCCGCAUGUGAGGGCACAGCCUGGGGCUGGGGAGACGCUGGCUGGGCUUAGUCACUGAGGAUGGGCUCCAGGGAGGCGCCAUGGGCCGAGGGCAUUUUAAAGAAUAGGCCAGAUCAGGAGAUCGGCAGGAGAACACAUUUAAAAUAUUAACUCCCGUAUUUCCCCCUACCGCUGUCUCCUUCCUUCCCUGCAUGCCAGCGCCCCCACCCCAUACUUGAACUUUCAGCAGCCAUCCUCCGGCCCCUUGGUCCCACGUGAGGAAUGUAACAGAGGAAAGCGCCACUGGCUCUCAGGUUCUAAAAGCCUGAAGCCGCUC
Molecule: long non-coding RNA, 1185 nt
Filed under: Capra hircus (goat)
Lineage: Eukaryota; Metazoa; Chordata; Mammalia; Artiodactyla; Bovidae
Description: lncRNA (ENSCHIG00010015096.1)
Source: RNAcentral